Long non-coding RNA from Rhipicephalus sanguineus (brown dog tick), 663 nucleotides. RefSeq lists it as uncharacterized. NCBI's taxonomy places the organism in Eukaryota, Metazoa, Arthropoda, Arachnida, Ixodida, Ixodidae. The record is from RefSeq and is a predicted model, not a curated record. The transcript is spliced from 3 exons.
AUUAACCUAUUUCCAGGUAUCAAACAAUAACAACUGACGAUAUGAGUAUAUUUGUCGAAAUGAGUACGUACUAACAUUGACAGAUUCCGAAGUGCUGACGUAGCUGAAGAUGUCAAAUACGUUGCAUCUUGCAAAAUCUCCUACAGCGAACUGGAUAAGAAACCACUAAAGGUAUUUGGACAUUCAAGUUCUCGAUUCGCCACCACCUAUAAAAGCAGCAAGCCUCAACUUCAUCACGUGGAUUUCACAAACCAGUAAUAAAGCAGAAAUGGAACUCAUCUCUUACAUCUCACUCCAAAUCAGCAUUACGCCGCUAAUAGCAACUUUAGCCCUGGCAUCUUCCUCAGAUUCUCCAGGUCCUCCAGUUAAUAAGAAGUUAGGAGACUAUUGCGAGGCCACAAGCCAGUGUGAACACGGAAGCUGCUGCUUGAGGCCGAUCGGCGGUGUAUACCCAACUUGCCAACCCCUGUCAAAAAUAACAGAACAGUGUUCAAUCUCACCCAUCGAUGGAGUCUAUAUGUAUACUUGCCCCUGUGUAGAUGGAGCGCGCUGCGAUCCCAGCAUGUAUUUGUGUGUGCCACCAGUAUCUAAUCCUUACCAAUUUAUUAUGGAACAAAAAGGUCGUAAAUGAAUAAAGGAAGAUUGACGCUCCAUUGCGAAGUA